ACAGAGCCUGAACCGGGCUCCCGGACGAUGGGCGCCGUACCCGGAACGCGACAAGACGGCCCGCA
Molecule: non-coding RNA, 65 nt
Filed under: Knoellia aerolata
Lineage: Bacteria; Bacillati; Actinomycetota; Actinomycetes; Micrococcales; Intrasporangiaceae
Also listed under: 1 other name
Source: RNAcentral